GAUCAAGCUACUAAGGGCAAACGGUGAAUGCCUUGGUGCCAAGAGGCGAUGAAGGACGCAGUAGGCUGCGAUAAGCUCCGGUUAGCGGCGAGCACGCUUUGACCCGGAGAUUUCCGAAUGGGGCAACCCAAUCGAGGUAAUACUCGAUUAUCGCUGGAUGAAUUCAUAGUCCAGCGAAGCGACACCCGGUGAAGUGAAACAUCUCAGUAACCGGAGGAAAAGAAGAAGAAAUUGAUUCCGUCAGUAGUGGCGAGCGAACGCGGAACAGCCUAAACCAGUCUGACUUGUCAGGCUGGGGUUGUGGGACCGUAAUGUGGUAUCUCGAGCGCUAGACGAACGGCAUGGAACUGCCGGCCAUAGAGGGUGAUAGACCCGUAGUCGAAAGCGCAAAGGAGCCUAGCGGCAUCCCAAGUAAAGCGGUGCACGUGAAACACUGCUCGAAUCCGCCCGGACCACCGGGCAAGGCUAAAUACUCCUUGGCGACCGAUAGUGAACUAGUACCGCGAGGGAAAGGUGAAAAGCACCCCUUUGAGGGGAAUGAAAUAGUACCUGCAACUGUUUGCCUACAAGGUUUCGGAGCUCGGCGCAAGCCGGGUGACGGAGUGCCUUUUGCAUAAUGAGUCUGCGAGUUAUUGCCAGUGGCGAGCCUAAGCCGUUCUGCGGCGCAGGCGUAGCGAAAGCGAGUCCGAAUAGGGCGACCGAGUCGCUGGCAACAGACCCGAAGCGGAGGUGAUCUACUCUUGGGCAAGGUGAAAGCUGGGUAACACCAGCUGGAGGCCUGAACGGCUCAAUGUUGAAAAAUUGUCCGAUGAUCUGAGAGUAGGAGCGAAAGACUAAUCAAACCCCGUGAUAGCUGGUUCUCCUCGAAAUAGUUUUAGGGCUAGCGUCGUGUAACUAGCGCCCGCAGGUAGAGCACUGAAUGGACUAGCGGCCCCACCAGGCUAGCGAACCCAAUCAAACUCCGAAUGGCGGGUUGCCGUACCACGGCAGUCAGACGGUGGGGGAUAAGCUUCAUCGUCGAGAGGGCAACAGCCCAGAUCGUCGGCUAAGGUCCCUAAUCUAGAUUAAGUGGGAAAGGAUGUGAAGUUGCUCAGACAGUGGGGAUGUUGGCUUAGAGGCAGCCAUCAUUUAAACAGUGCGUAACAGCUGACCCAUCGAGCGAUUUCGCGCCGAAAAUGAUCGGGACUUAAAUCUAGAACCGAAGCCACGGCAGCAAGCUGAAUGCGUUUGGCUUGCUGGGUAGAGGAGCGUUCCAUGCAGCGUCGAAGCGGGAAGGGAACUGACCGUGGAGCGCAUGGAAGUGAGGAUGCAGACAUGAGUAGCGAUAAAGCACGUUAAAAUCGUGCUCGCCGUAAGCCUAAGGUUUCCUGGGGAAGGUUCGUCCGCCCAGGGUUAGUCGGAAGCUAAGCCGAGGUCGUACGACGUAGGCGAUGCACAGCUGGUUCAAUAUUCCAGCACCACCUUAGAGGCGUUAUCAGCAGCGAAGUGACGGAGUAGGCUAAUGUAGCGAGGUGUUGAAUGUCCUCGUCUAAGGCCGUAGGAGGUCCGCCAGGCAAAUCCGGCGGGCAGCCCGCAAGGGCGACUCUGAAAGCUGGGGACCCUGAGUCCACGGACAAGGGGGAUUACAUGAUGCCAGACUUCCGAGAAAAGCUUCGUUGUGAGCUUCUAGGGUGACCGUACCGCAAACCGACACAGGUAGGCGAGUCGAGUAGACUCAGGCGCGCGAGUGAACCCUCUUGAAGGAACUCGGCAAACUAGCCCCGUAACUUCGGAAGAAGGGGUGCCUGGUUGUGCUGCAGCAAUGUUGCGCAAUCGGGUCUCAGUAAAGUGGGAGCCGCGACUGUUUAACAAAAACACAGCUCUCUGCGAAGUCGUGAAGACGACGUAUAGGGAGUGACAAGUGACCAAUGCGGAAAGAUUAAGGGGAGUGGUCAGCCCGCAAGGGCGAAGCUACAAACCUAAGUCCCCGUGAAUGUCGGCCGUAACUAUAACGGUCCUAAGGUAGCGAAAUUCCUUGUCGGGUAAGUUCCGACCUGCACGAAUCUUGUAACGAAGGCUCCGCUGUCUCCAAGAGGCGCUCGGCGAAGUUGUAGUGGCGGUGAAGAUGCCGCCUGCCCGCAGUAGGACGGAAAGACCCCAUGCACCUUUACUGUAAGCUGGUAUUGGCGUUUGGUCCGUGAUGCUUAGAGUAAGUGGGAGGCUUUGAAGGGAUGGCUUCGGUUGUCCCUGAGCCGCAAUGUGAAACACCACUCUUCGCUAACUAAGCGUCUAACCCCAACCUGUCAGCCAGGUGGGAAACAGUGCCAGCAGGUCAGUUUGACUGGGGCGGUCUCCUCCCAAAAGGUAACGGAGGAGUUCGAUGCUUGGCUCAACACGGUUUGCAACCGUGCCGAGAGCAUAUGGGUAGAAGCCAGGCUAACUGCGAGACCAACAAGUCGAGCAGGUGCGAAAGCAGGACCAAGUGAUCCGGUGGUUGAAUGUGGAAUUGCCAUCGCUCAACGGACAAAAGGUACGCUGGGGAUAACAGGCUUAUCGGGCCCAAGAGUUCAUAUCGACGGCCCGGUUUGGCACCUCGAUGUCGACUCGUCGCAUCCUGGGGCUGGAGAAGGUCCCAAGGGUCCGUCUGUUCGCCGGUUAAAGCGGCACGCGAGUUGGGUUCAGAACGUCGUGAGACAGUUCGGUCCUUAUCCACUGUGGGCGCAGGAGUCUUGAGGGGUUCCCUUCCUAGUACGAGAGGACCGGAAGAGACGGACCUCCGGUGUUUCAGUUGUCGCGUCAGCGGCAGCGCUGAGUAGCUGCGUCCGGAAGAGAUAAGCGCUGAAAGCAUCUAAGCGCCAAGCUCAUCCCAAGAUAUAGACUCCCGCAUCGCAAGAUGCCUAAAGGCCACGGGAAGACCACCCGUUUGAUAGGUCGCAAGUGUAAGCGCAGCAAUGCGUUCAGCUAAGCGAUACUAAUCGGCCGUGCGGCUUGAUCAC
This is a non-coding RNA of Verrucomicrobia bacterium GWF2_62_7, 2975 nucleotides long. The record is from Rfam. NCBI's taxonomy places the organism in Bacteria, Pseudomonadati, Verrucomicrobiota.